UCGGGUUGUAAAGCACUUUUGUCCGGAAAGAAAACUUCUGCCCUAAUACGGCGGGAGGAUGACGGUACCGGAAGAAUAAGCACCGGCUAACUACGUGCCAGCAGCGCGGUAAUCGUAGGGUGCGAGCGUUAAUCGGAAUUACUGGGCGUAAAGCGUGCGCAGGCGGUUCGUUAAGACAGAUGUGAAAUCCCCGGGCUUAACCUGGGAACUGCAUUUGUGACUGGCGAGCUAGAGUAUGGCAGAGGGGGGUAGAAUUCCACGUGUAGCAGUGAAAUGCGUAGAGAUGUGGAGGAAUACCGAUGGCGAAGGCAGCCCCCUGGGCCAAUACUGACGCUCAUGCACGAAAGCGUGGGGAGCAAACAGGAUUAGAUACCCUGGUAGUCCACGCCCUAAACGAUGUCAACUAGUUGUUGGGUCUUCAUUGACUUAGUAACGUAGCUAACGCGUGAAGUUGACCGCCUGGGGAGUACGGUCGCAAGAUUAAAACUCAAAGGAAUUGACGGGGACCCGCACAAGCGGUGGAUGAUGUGGAUUAAUUCGAUGCAACGCGAAAAACCUUACCUACCCUUGACAUGGUCGGAACCCUGCUG
Molecule: ribosomal RNA, 590 nt
Filed under: uncultured Burkholderia sp.
Lineage: Bacteria; Pseudomonadati; Pseudomonadota; Betaproteobacteria; Burkholderiales; Burkholderiaceae
Description: bacterial SSU rRNA
Rfam family: Bacterial small subunit ribosomal RNA
Source: RNAcentral